GCUGAUAUGGCUCAGUUGGUAGAGCAGCCCUAGCAAGGGUAUGGUCGGCAGUUCAGAUAUGCCUAUCAGCACCA
RNAcentral lists this transfer RNA (74 nucleotides) under Yersinia enterocolitica. RNAcentral's name for it is "tRNA-Ala". RNAcentral also lists the same sequence under 2 other names. The record is from RNAcentral. Lineage: Bacteria; Pseudomonadati; Pseudomonadota; Gammaproteobacteria; Enterobacterales; Yersiniaceae.